CACAAUUCAAAUAAGUCGCAGUUCUAUUUCAGAUUUCUAAACGAAAAGGUUAAUUUAUAAUUUAUAGAUGGGUCUUCGCAUAAAUAUUUUGGCUAUACUUUUGCUUUUUGUCAUAAAAAAGGAUUUGAAUAAACAGUUCGCAAAUCCUUCAGACUUUUAGAAACCAUGUCUAUAUUAUAAACAGAGCCGUUGCAAAAUCUUUAAAUUAAGGAUGAAAAUAAAAUUCGCAAUGCAAUAAAUUGAUUUGUCUCACUCUUCUUCUUCUUUUCAUAAUAGUUUUUAGCUUUCAUUACACGAAAUCUUAGUGUUCAAAUGGCAACUCAUACAAUUUUACUCUAUUUUAUAGUUAUAAUUUGUUUUCCUAUUUGUUUUACAUGGGAAUCGAUGCCAGAAAUGGAAGAAAGUAAACAAAUUUUUAAAAAUAUGCCUCAAAAGAUGUCCAAAAAAUUUACAAAUUUUGAGCGUCAUUUUAAGCAAAUGCCAACAGCUGAUAAAAAUAGAAAAGUUUUUGA
Long non-coding RNA from Drosophila willistoni, 512 nucleotides. RefSeq lists it as uncharacterized. Lineage: Eukaryota; Metazoa; Arthropoda; Insecta; Diptera; Drosophilidae. The transcript has 3 exons. The record is from RefSeq and is a predicted model, not a curated record.